Molecule: ribosomal RNA, 494 nt
Filed under: uncultured bacterium
Lineage: Bacteria
Description: partial 16S ribosomal RNA
Rfam family: Bacterial small subunit ribosomal RNA
Source: RNAcentral
GACGAACGCUGGCGGCGUGCUUAACACAUGCAAGUCGAACGGUGAAGCGCCUUCCUUUUUGGUGGGUGUGGAUGAGUGGCGAACGGGUGAGUAACACGUGAGUAACCUGCCCCCUUCUUCUGGAUAACCGCAUGAAAGUGUGGCUAAUACGGGAUAUUCUGGGUCUGUCGCAUGAUGGGUCUGGGAAAGAUAUUGUUUCGGUUGGGGAUGGGCUCGCGGCCUAUCAGCUUGUUGGUGGGGUGAUGGCCUACCAAGGCGGUGACGGGUAGCCGGCCUGAGAGGGUGGACGGUCACACUGGGAGUGAGACACGGCCCAGCCUCCUACGGGAGGCAGCAGGGAGGAAUAUUGAACAAUGGGCGCAAGCCUGAUGCAGCGACGCCGCGUGAGGGAUGGAGGCCGGCGGGUUGUGAACCUCUUUCGCCAGUGAAGCAGGCCUGCCUCGUUUGUGGGUGGGUUGACGGUAGCUGGACAAGAAGCGCCGGCUAACUACGUG